CUUACAAGGCAAUGAUGCAUAGCCGAGUUGAGAGACUGAUCCGGCCACAUUGGGACUGAGACACGGCCCAAACUCCUACGGAAGGCAGCAG
This 91-nucleotide ribosomal RNA is filed under the name uncultured bacterium. Its description in RNAcentral is "partial 16S ribosomal RNA". It matches the Rfam family "Bacterial small subunit ribosomal RNA", at positions 265 to 354 of the family's 1533-position model. The record is from RNAcentral.